This 205-nucleotide long non-coding RNA is filed under the name Panax ginseng (ginseng). Its description in RNAcentral is "long non-coding RNA (PGIN_LNC002515)". Lineage: Eukaryota; Viridiplantae; Streptophyta; Magnoliopsida; Apiales; Araliaceae. The record is from RNAcentral.
GACAAGUGUUAAUCGUCACAUAGACCGUCACCGUAUGAGCGUGGUAUUAGGUUUAUUUGACAAUAUUUGAUGUCGUCACUAAAUGUUUUAACUUAUAGUAAGAUAAUGACCAAUAAAUUCCAACCCUUUAAAUAAAAUCAUCGUGUUAUUACAACAACACUAGCAGAACUGAGCAACAAACUCAGCUUCACCAACAGAAGAAUGC